UACGGGGGGUCCAGCGUUGUUCGGAAUUACUGGGCGUAAAGGGCUCGUAGGCGGCCAACUAAGUCAGACGUGAAAUCCCUCGGCUUAACCGGGGAACUGCAUCUGAUACUGGAUGGCUUGAGAUUGGGAGAGGGAUGCGGAAUUCCAGGUGUAGCGGUGAAAUGCGUAGAUAUCUGGAGGAACACCGGUGGCGAAGGCGGCAUCCUGGACCAACACUGACGCUGAGGAGCGAAAGCCAGGGGAGCAAACGGG
RNAcentral lists this ribosomal RNA (252 nucleotides) under uncultured bacterium. RNAcentral's name for it is "partial 16S ribosomal RNA". It matches the Rfam family "Bacterial small subunit ribosomal RNA", at positions 524 to 776 of the family's 1533-position model. The record is from RNAcentral.